RNAcentral lists this ribosomal RNA (440 nucleotides) under uncultured bacterium. RNAcentral describes it as "partial 16S ribosomal RNA". It matches the Rfam family "Bacterial small subunit ribosomal RNA", at positions 338 to 795 of the family's 1533-position model. The record is from RNAcentral.
CCUACGGGAGGCAGCAGUGGGGAAUAUUGCACAAUGGGGGAAACCCUGAUGCAGCGACGCCGCGUGAGUGAAGAAGUAUUUCGGUACGUAAAGCUCUAUCAGCAGGGAAGAAAAUGACGGUACCUGACUAAGAAGCCCCGGCUAACUACGUGCCAGCAGCCGCUGUAAUACGUAGGGGGCAAGCGUUAUCCGGAUUUACUGGGUGUAAAGGGAGCGUAGACGGCAGCGCAAGUCUGGAGUGAAAUCCCAUGGCUUAACCAUGGAACUGCUUUGGAAACUGUGCAGCUAGAGUGCAGGAGAGGUAAGCGGAAUUCCUAGUGUAGCGGUGAAAUGCGUAGAUAUUAGGAGGAACACCAGUGGCGAAGGCGGCUUACUGGACUGUAACUGACGUUGAGGCUCGAAAGCGUGGGGAGCAAACAGGAUUAGAUACCCCUGUAGUC